Long non-coding RNA from Budorcas taxicolor (takin), 623 nucleotides. RefSeq lists it as uncharacterized. The record is from RefSeq and is a predicted model, not a curated record. The transcript is spliced from 5 exons. Lineage: Eukaryota; Metazoa; Chordata; Mammalia; Artiodactyla; Bovidae.
GGCGGCGUGAUGACGCAAGGAGAAUGUGCGCGGCUGCAGGCAUGUGUGGUUACGGUGGUGAGGCUGCUCCUGGUCGUCGUUACCAUCCACUGCCAUCGAGAGUCCCAGGUGGUGCCUGCGACCUGCUGAGUACAGGUGGAUGAUCCUCGGCUCCUCCGCAGCAGAGCUCCUGUAAGAUGCAAUGGUCAAAGCUUCUAGCAAAUUUGGAUCCGUCUCUUCAGUGCAAGCGUUGAACACGCCCGUCUCAUGAAGUUGCUGUCAGAGGCACUGCUCAAUCCUGACAGGCACCGCCCCCCAACCCAGCGGACUCUGCACUGUGUUCCUGCUCCAGCUUCAGCAGCAAACAUCCCAGGAUGCGAGAGCUAGAAGAGACUUGAGAGGUGAUCCCUUCCAUGGAUGAUAGAUUAUUCGGGGAAUCUGCAGUCGUGAGUAUGCCAGGAGUCAGGAGUUUCUGGUUCUUGGCCCAGCUGACAUGUGCACAUCUGACUGACCUUCGCUGACCCCAGGUUUGGAUGCCAUAUUGUCUGCUUCCAGAACAAGGAUCUUCACUAUACAUUGGGACCCAGGCCCCUCUGACAUCUGCAUGAAAAGUGAUAUUUAAUAAAACAGUUUAAAAUUUGUAA